Molecule: ribosomal RNA, 253 nt
Filed under: uncultured bacterium
Lineage: Bacteria
Description: partial 16S ribosomal RNA
Rfam family: Bacterial small subunit ribosomal RNA
Source: RNAcentral
UACGUAGGGUGCGAGCGUUGUCCGGAAUUAUUGGGCGUAAAGAGCUUGUAGGCGGUUUGUCGCGUCUGUCGUGAAAAUCCAUGGCUUAACUGUGGACGUGCGGUGGGUACGGGCAGGCUAGAGUGUGGUAGGGGAGACUGGAAUUCCUGGUGUAGCGGUGAAAUGCGCAGAUAUCAGGAGGAACACCGAUGGCGAAGGCAGGUCUCUGGGCCAUAACUGACGCUGAGAAGCGAAAGCAUGGGGAGCGAACAGG